RNAcentral lists this long non-coding RNA (1220 nucleotides) under Homo sapiens (human). RNAcentral's name for it is "HSALNT0302709". Lineage: Eukaryota; Metazoa; Chordata; Mammalia; Primates; Hominidae. The record is from RNAcentral.
CAUUCAGAUCAUGGCAGAACUGUCACAGAUGUUACUUUGUGAAAACACAAAGAAUAAUGUGUUUGGAGAGAUCAGUCUUCAAUUAGCUAUAUUUUCUAGGAGCCUACCUUUACUUAGCCUCACAACAUGGGCCUUAGCUUUAGCACUUAAUCUGCACAAAUACCUGGCUUAAGUGUUAUGACUGACUGGCUAUUCAACCAAACCAUACAAAUGACCAAUUCGGUAAGAAAGCAUGAACUUCAGUGUUGAACCAAAUCAACCAACCUCCUCAAUCCAAAUGAACAAUGCUAUUCUAGGAGUCUGUGCUAGAAUAAAAUCCUAAUGCAAAGGCUGUCUUAAAAUGCUGAACCCAGAAGAAUUUGGCAUAAAUAAGACAUGGAGUUAGCUGACAUGAGAUAUUACAUUUAUUCCACUGUUGACGAGGACAAAACUGGGCCGCUAUUGUCACAGGAGAGGAUAACAAAGGAAGCUGAGGAAGUCUGUUCUGGAGGCACCAUGACAAAGCACCAGACAGAAAGCAGUCACGUGUGGGGAGAUGAGCAGAGACACCACUUCUCAAGCACCUGAUUAUUCUUUCUCAGUAUUUAGAAGCAAAAAUUAUCCUUAAGAAAAACAACCGCAAACGCAACACAGGCUACACAGAUGAGAAAAUGGGAUUUCAAGAGAGAAGGCUGAAAAGGAAGGUGACUGGAAUAUUAAGAACUGUGAGAUAUUCUGAGGAAACUCUAAUUUGUAAAUUGGUAGAAAUGCCAGUAAUUUGUUGGGAAUUGAAGACCCUCUGUAUUCAAGAGCGAAGCUUGGCAGCUGUGCACUGUUGUUUUAUAAAUCAAUAUUACAUCUGAAGGUGGUGUUUGAAUGUUUGUGUCAUUGGGGUUUGUCUCCAACAUAGUCCUGUGACAAGAAAUGUUCAAACAAAACAAACACAAUCCCUUCCCUGUCCUUUAGGAUAAAGUCCAAACGUAAUUCCACAACAGGGAUAUAACAUUCAAAUCAACUACAGAACUUCUGUAAUUAUAUAAAACCCCACGACCACAGAAAUGCAAUUGAAUUGAAGACACUUUGCAAUAUUCCCCAAGAAAGGACUGUGUGGCUGUCAGAUUAACAAAAGUCAAGAGGUGGUGAGACAAUGCUCACCAUUGCAAAAAAGAGCUUUGUGCAUAAUGAACAGAAUUUGCAUGCCUGUUUAGGAAAUUAAGGUGAAGCCAAGGUGACUUAGGGUC